Molecule: ribosomal RNA, 254 nt
Filed under: uncultured bacterium
Lineage: Bacteria
Description: partial 16S ribosomal RNA
Rfam family: Bacterial small subunit ribosomal RNA
Source: RNAcentral
UACGAAGGGGGCUAGCGUUGCUCGGAAUCACUGGGCGUAAAGCGCACGUAGGCGGAUUCUUAAGUCAGGGGUGAAAUCCUGGAGCUCAACUCCAGAACUGCCUUUGAUACUGAGGGUCUUGAGUUCGGGAGAGGUGAGUGGAACUGCGAGUGUAGAGGUGAAAAUUCGUAGAUAUUCGCAAGAACACCAGUGGCGAAGGCGGCUCACUGGCCCGAUACUGACGCUGAGGUGCGAAAGCGUGGGGAGCAAACAGG